UACAGAGGGUGCGAGCGUUAAUCGGAAUUACUGGGCGUAAAGCGCGCGUAGGCGGCUUUGCAAGUCGGGUGUGAAAUCCCCAGGCUUAACCUGGGAACUGCAUUCGAGACUGUCUGACUUGAGUAUGCUAGAGGGAAGUGGAAUUCCAGGUGUAGCGGUGAAAUGCGUAGAUAUCUGGAGGAACACCAAUGGCGAAGGCAACUUCCUGGGGCAAUACUGACACUGAUGUGCGAAAGCGUGGGGAGCAAACAGG
Molecule: ribosomal RNA, 253 nt
Filed under: uncultured bacterium
Lineage: Bacteria
Description: partial 16S ribosomal RNA
Rfam family: Bacterial small subunit ribosomal RNA
Source: RNAcentral